AGACAGUAAAAUGUAAGUGGUUGCAUAUUUGUCUCAUAAGCAGAGUGGUGGGUUCAACUCCUAAACUGUCAU
This 72-nucleotide transfer RNA is filed under the name Peniophora lycii. RNAcentral's name for it is "tRNA-Met". Lineage: Eukaryota; Fungi; Basidiomycota; Agaricomycetes; Russulales; Peniophoraceae. The record is from RNAcentral.